CGCCAUAUCACGUUGAAACACCGGUUCUCGUACGAUCACCGAAGUUAAGCAACAUCGAGCCUGGUCAGUACCUAGAUAGGUGACCGCUUGGGAAUACCAAGUGGUGUAA
RNAcentral lists this ribosomal RNA (109 nucleotides) under Acanthosepion pharaonis. The record is from RNAcentral. Lineage: Eukaryota; Metazoa; Mollusca; Cephalopoda; Sepiida; Sepiidae.